AGACGAUAUUCAAGAUACAGAGAGAAAAGUAUUGAUGGAGUACAAUGAAUUAAACCGUGCAAAGAUAGAAUUGGAGCAACGUGUGGAGGAAAUGGAAGCUGCUAAUUCUAGACAGGAAAAACUGGAAAAUGAGCUAAGGCAGGCUAAUCUGGUCUUAGUAUCUCAAGCUGCAGAAAUUGAAGAUCUAAAGUUUCGUUUCAACGAGAUAGAUCAGGAGAUAUCUGCUGCGCAAAUAGCCCUAGUUUCAAAAGAAGAUGAAAUAAAUAAAAUGAUGAUUGAGUUGAAGAAUAAAUGUGAUGAAGCGG
Molecule: unclassified non-coding RNA, 305 nt
Filed under: Hevea brasiliensis (rubber tree)
Lineage: Eukaryota; Viridiplantae; Streptophyta; Magnoliopsida; Malpighiales; Euphorbiaceae
Source: RNAcentral